RNAcentral lists this non-coding RNA (267 nucleotides) under Paenibacillus yonginensis. Its description in RNAcentral is "T-box sequence". It matches the Rfam family "T-box leader". From Rfam's summary of the family: Uncharged tRNA acts as the effector for transcription antitermination of genes in the T-box leader family. T-boxes are found upstream of many aminoacyl-tRNA synthetase genes and some amino acid biosynthetic genes usually in Gram-positive bacteria. The record is from RNAcentral. Lineage: Bacteria; Bacillati; Bacillota; Bacilli; Caryophanales; Paenibacillaceae.
UUAAAUGCUUGGAUGAGGAGCAGUACCCGCCUGUCCGGUUGCCAGAAAGCUGCUGGUCGAUGCGAAGCAGUAGAAGGAUAUCGGGGAACUCGCCUUGGAGCAGCCGUUUCGAAACCUGAACUUACUGUUCUGGAAGUAGCUACGGACGGAUCGCCCGCCGUUAUGAUGGGGUUGGAUAAGGAGUAAGGCUCUUUAUCCGCUGAGCGUAUGAACAACUGUUCAUAAACUGGAGUGGUACCGCGUAAGACAUGGUCUUUCGUCUCUAUU